AAGUCCGUCUGGAAUUUGUCUGAUGUAGAAGCUUGUCUGAAGACUGUCCGUUGGAGAGGUCUGGUUGCAUGAGGAAUCCGGCAGAAAAUCGACCGAUAGCAAAAUUCGAAAGGUGUUGUGGAAGUUCGUCCGCUGGAGGAGUUUGGAGGACACUGUGGAAGGUCGACCGCUGGAGGGGUCCGGAGGAAAUUUAUCCGUUGGAG
This 203-nucleotide long non-coding RNA is filed under the name Elaeis guineensis (African oil palm). RNAcentral's name for it is "long non-coding RNA (EGUI_LNC070797)". Lineage: Eukaryota; Viridiplantae; Streptophyta; Magnoliopsida; Arecales; Arecaceae. The record is from RNAcentral.